ACUACGGGUGGCAGCAGUGGGGGAUAUUGCACAAUGGGGGAAACCCUGAUGCAGCGACGCCGCGUGAGUGAAGAAGUAUUUCGGUAUGUAAAGCUCUAUCAGCAGGGAAGAAAAUGACAGUACCUGACCAAGAAGCCCCGGCUAACUACGUGCCAGCAGCCGCGGUAAUACGUAGGGGGCAAGCGUUAUCCGGAUUUACUGGGUGUAAAGGGAGCGUAGACGGGUAUGUAAGUCUGGAGGGAAAGCCCGGGGCCCAACCCCGGGACUGCUGUGGAAACUGUGUAACUGGAGUACAGGAGGGGCAGGCGGAAUUCCUGGUGUAGCGGUGAAAGGCGUAGAUAUCAGGAGGAACACCGGCGGCGAAGGCGGCCUGCUGGACUGAAACUGACGUUGAGGCUCGAAAGCGUGGGGAGCAAACAGGAUUAGAUACCCGAGUAGUC
RNAcentral lists this ribosomal RNA (440 nucleotides) under uncultured bacterium. RNAcentral's name for it is "partial 16S ribosomal RNA". It matches the Rfam family "Bacterial small subunit ribosomal RNA", at positions 338 to 795 of the family's 1533-position model. The record is from RNAcentral.